Molecule: ribosomal RNA, 311 nt
Filed under: uncultured bacterium
Lineage: Bacteria
Description: bacterial SSU rRNA
Rfam family: Bacterial small subunit ribosomal RNA
Source: RNAcentral
AUUGAACGCUGGCGGCAUGCUUUACACAUGCAAGUCGAACGGCAGCACGGGGGCGAACCCUGGUGGCGAGUGGCGAACGGGUGAGUAAUACAUAGGAACGUAUCCUGAAAUGGGGGAGUAGCUCGGCGAAAGACCGGAUUAAUACCGCAUACGAUCCACGGAUGAAAGACAGGGGAUUCGCAAGAACCUUGCGUUUCUGGAGCGGCCUAUGUCUGAUUAGCUAGUUGGCGGGGUAAAAGGACCCACCCAAGGCGACGAUCAGUAGCUGGUCUGAGAGGAUGAUCAGCCACACUGGGACUGAGACACGGCCC